UCGCCUGUUUAUCAAAAACAUGGUUUCUUGAUUAUUUAAGAAAUCUAACCUGCCCACUGAAAAUUUUGAAGGGCCGCAGUAUUUUGACUGUGCAAAGGUAGCAUAAUCAUUAGUCUUUUAAUUGAAGGCUGGUAUGAAUGGUUGGAUGAGGUGAAUUCUGUUUUAUAUAUAUUAAUAAUUGAAUUUAGAUUUUAAGUAAAAAGACUUAAGUGUUAUUAAGGGACGAGAAGACCCUAUAGAGUUUAAUAAAUGUAUUAAAUAAUUAAGUUAAUUUAGAAUUUUUAAUUUAUUAUUAAAUUUAUUUAAUUGGGGUGAUUGGAAGAUAAAAUAAACUCUUCUUUAAAUUAAAUAUUUUAGUUAGUUAAGUGAUCCAUAAUUAAUGAUUAAAAGAUUAAAUUACCUUAGGGAUAACAGCAUAAUUUCUUUUAAGAGUUCAUAUCGAAAGAGAAGAUUGUGACCUCGAUGUUGGAUUAAGAUAAAAUUUUGGUGUAGAUGCUUAAAUAUUAGGUCUGUUCGACCUUUAAUAUCUUACAUGAUCUGAGUUCAAACCGGAGA
RNAcentral lists this ribosomal RNA (555 nucleotides) under Chrysomantis cachani. RNAcentral describes it as "partial 16S ribosomal RNA". It matches the Rfam family "Bacterial large subunit ribosomal RNA", at positions 1796 to 2622 of the family's 2925-position model. Lineage: Eukaryota; Metazoa; Arthropoda; Insecta; Mantodea; Hymenopodidae. The record is from RNAcentral.